AACGAACGCUGGCGGCGUGCCUAAGACAUGCAAGUCGUGCGAGAAAAGGGCUUCGGCCCCGAGUAGAGUGGCGCACGGGUGAGUAACGCGUAAGUAAUCUACCCCUGUAUUCGGAAUACCCCCACCGAAAGGUGAGCUAAUACCGGAUACGUUUAUCUUGAUGCGAAUGAUGAUAAAGAAAGGUGGCCUCUUCUUGAAAGCUACUGUACAGGGACGAGCUUGCGUACCAUUAGCUAGUUGGUAGGGUAAUGGCCUACCAAGGCGACGAUGGUUAGCGGGUCUGAGAGGAUGAUCCGCCACACUGGAACUGGAACACGGACCAGACUCCUACGGGUGGCAG
RNAcentral lists this ribosomal RNA (340 nucleotides) under uncultured Pseudomonadota bacterium. Its description in RNAcentral is "bacterial SSU rRNA". It matches the Rfam family "Bacterial small subunit ribosomal RNA", at positions 29 to 351 of the family's 1533-position model. The record is from RNAcentral. Lineage: Bacteria; Pseudomonadati; Pseudomonadota.